This 1245-nucleotide long non-coding RNA is filed under the name Lathyrus oleraceus (garden pea). RNAcentral's name for it is "Pisum sativum (pea) long non-coding RNA (PSAT_LNC011289)". Lineage: Eukaryota; Viridiplantae; Streptophyta; Magnoliopsida; Fabales; Fabaceae. The record is from RNAcentral.
AGGCAUUAUUAAUCAAUGAGGCUUGCUAAAUUAUGCUGAAAUCCAUGGUGUUCAUGUUCCUGCUCGUGGCUUUGAUGGACUCCAAUGCUUGGUAUGUUGUUAUGGCAAUUGAAUAACAUGCUUGGAUGUUACCACGUGAUUAAUAUUUGCUUAAUUUGCUGCAAAUUAUUACUGAUGAUGACCAUCUGACAUUGCAGGAUCCAGGAUUGAGAGGCAAAGUUUUUUCAUGAAGCAAUUGGUUUAUGAUGCAUAGGUACGGGUACGGUACCCGGUGCGGGUACCGGUAAUGGUACGGGAUACGCCAUUUUAAAAAAAAUUAAGGUACGGGUACGUUAAUAAAAAAUAAGAGUUUUCUAUAAAAUGUAUGGGGAGAAAACUAAAUUGUUAGGUUCACAAUAAUACAUCACUAUAAAAGUUUAAAAAAUAAAAAAUAAUAUUAAGAUAUAGUAACGAAGAAAUGAAAAUACAUAAAUAUACUACAUUGAUAUUUGAAAAAACAAAAAAUUUCACUUGAAAUCGAAUAAUCAGAAAAGAUGAAGUACCACGAGUACGGUACGUGUACCUGGUACGGAUGCGCACCCGAUACCAGUACUUCACCAUUUUAGAAGUACCCAUGCUUCAGAGCAAUUGGUGUUAACUGAUGUACAAUGUGUAUGCUCAUAUGUUAUUGCCAUGAAUUUGAUGUGCUUGUCAUGGAUGUAUUGCUGGUUUGUGUGCUACAUGAUGCAAGGCUGCAAUUGUCAUGCUUGGAUGAACACUUUGGUCAUGGUUUGCAUAGACUCAUGGGGUGUUCUGACUUGUUCUUGGUUUUGUAGGUAUAACUUAUGAACAUUGCCUUAAUUCUGACCUUGGUAUAACCUCAUGUGACAAGGUUUAACAUGUCGCACCAUGGCUUUGUUUUGCUAGGUUUACUUGCACAAGCUAAGUUCAUGACAUGGCAUUGAAUAUCAUGUGCAAAUGGCCAAAUCAAAAUCAAGAUGGAACUGGAAAAUGGGAUUAGGAUUAGCAUUGGCAUUUAGUGGUUUAGGAUGGAAAAUCACUUUGAGUUGACUUUGGUCAAAGUUGAACAAAAAGUCAACUGUUGACCAAAGUUAAUAUUUGUUAAACAUGUAUUUUUUUUGGUAUUUUUUGUAUGUAAAGAACAAUUUAUGGUCAUGUAAUGAAUGGGAUUGAUGCAUUUAAAUGAAAAUGAAUGGAUUUGGUACAUGAAUAUGUUAUUUAAAAUGGUUUGAAUUUAGACUUAAA